Molecule: ribosomal RNA, 666 nt
Filed under: uncultured bacterium
Lineage: Bacteria
Description: bacterial SSU rRNA
Rfam family: Bacterial small subunit ribosomal RNA
Source: RNAcentral
UAACACGUGAGCAACCUGCCUUUCAGAGGGGGAUAACAGUUGGAAACGACUGCUAAUACCGCAUAACGCUGCGAUGGGGCAUCCCGAUGCAGCCAAAGGAGCAAUCCGCUGAAAGAUGGGCUCGCGGCCGAUUAGCUAGUUGGUGGGGCAACGGCCCACCAAGGCGACGAUCGGUAGCCGGACUGAGAGGUUGAUCGGCCACAUUGGGACUGAGACACGGCCCAGACUCCUACGGGAGGCAGCAGUGGGGGAUAUUGCACAAUGGAGGAAACUCUGAUGCAGCGACGCCGCGUGAGGGAAGACGGUCUUCGGAUUGUAAACCUCUGUCUUUGGGGAAGAAAAUGACGGUACCCAAAGAGGAAGCUCCGGCUAACUACGUGCCAGCAGCCGCGGUAAUACGUAGGGAGCGAGCGUUGUCCGGAAUUACUGGGUGUAAAGGGAGCGUAGGCGGGCGAGAAAGUUGAAUGUUAAAUCUACCGGCUUAACUGGUAGCUGCGUUCAAAACUUCUUGUCUUGAGUGAAGUAGAGGCAGGCGGAAUUCCUAGUGUAGCGGUGAAAUGCGUAGAUAUUAGGAGGAACACCAGUGGCGAAGACGGCCUGCUGGGCUUUAACUGACGCUGAGGCUCGAAAGCGUGGGGAGCAGACAGGAUUAGAUACCCUGGUAGU